RNAcentral lists this ribosomal RNA (465 nucleotides) under uncultured bacterium. RNAcentral describes it as "partial 16S ribosomal RNA". It matches the Rfam family "Bacterial small subunit ribosomal RNA", at positions 338 to 795 of the family's 1533-position model. The record is from RNAcentral.
CCUACGGGAGGCUGCAGUGGGGAAUUUUGCGCAAUGCUCGUAAGAGUGACGCAGCGACGCCGCGUGAAUGACGAAGGCCUUCGGGUCGUAAAGUUCUUUCGACAGGGAAGAAAAUGCCUAUAAGUAACUGUGUAUGUAUUGACGGUACCUGUAUAAGCAGCACCGGCUAACUCCGUGCCAGCAGCCGCGGUAAUACGGAGGGGGCGAGCGUUGUUCGGAGGGACUGGGCGUAAAGAGCACGUAGGCGGUGUUGUAAGUCAUUAGUCAAAGACUAGAGCUCAACUUUAGUAAGGCUAGUGAUACUAUAAUACUAGAGUAUCAGAGAGGAUUGCAGAAUUCCUGGUGUAGCGGUGAAAUGCGUAGAUAUCAGGAGGAAUACCGUUAGCGAAGGCGGCAAUCUGGCUGGAAACUGACGCUGAGGUGCGAAAGCGUGGGUAGCAAACAGGAUUAGAUACCCUUGUAGUC